GGCUGUGUCCCAAUUCCUAGGACGCAUCCUUCGAAGGCUGCAUUCGAAGGAUGCGUCGACGCCGAUUGCGUCACAGCGUCGCGCCAAGUGCUGUCCCAAUUCCAAGGGUCCUUCAAAUGCGGCCUACGAAUGCAGCCUUCUUUUCCCGGAUUUGAAGGAUGCAUCGGCUGUAUCCUUCACGGCCCAACGUAUCCCAAGAUCCUUCACGGCCCAACGUAUCCCUCCCAAGAUUCAUUGCGCAUUCAAUCAAUGGAGAUGGCGGAGAAUGGCGAUUUAAGUUCUGCAUUUAAAUGGGGCCAGCAGCAUACGGCUCGAUUUAUUCUAUUGAGGGGGGAGAAUGAUGAGCUGUUCACCGGGGUGAAAUACUCAGCAAGUGUGGCUUGGGGGUAAAGAAACAAUCGUUUAUUUAUAUCGACAAUUCUGGAGAAAAUAGGCCUGCAGGGGAAGGUGUCUCCCCCGCAGGCAAAGAAAAACUUUUGCUGAAAUUUGUUUUGAUACUGCUCUUGUUGUUAACUGCCAUGAUUGAUUUCCUCUGCCUUAGGAUUGCAAGUAUCCAGGGUCAGGAGAGGGGGUAGGUGGGAAACCCACUGCUGCCACUUGGCCCUGGUUUGUCCCCUUUGAUAAGGUAUUGUGACAUAUGCAUUCCACCAACCCCCCUGUCCUAAUUGCCUCCAUCCCUGAGAACACACCAGGGCCAAGUACAGCAAGUACAGCAGUGGUGGAUCAGGAGGUUGAGGACAAGAUCAGGAGGAGGAAAGACAGCGAGGGCCAAGGUCCAGAAAGAGGGACAGAGAGGAAGACAUGUUCCAGAGUCGCUCACUAUCUUCCGAAAAGGACUCAAGAUUCACCUGUUCAGAGUCCACCUCGACUGCAUAGCCACCCUCCCCCUUCUGGCAACCAUUGUACACUGUGUUGUAUUGUAUUAUAGUACUUAACUGUGUAGCAACUGCAGUAGCUGCUAUCAUGGCUGUAACACGGGGAAUGGGUUAGCCUAGCGAUUGUGGUACUUGCACUUGGUUCUAUGAACAUCCUUUCUGUACCGACAGCGAUAUAUUGAUGCACUUCUUAUGACAAAUGUACUUAUUGUAAGUCGCUUUGGAUAAAAGCGUCUGCUAAAUGCCCUAAAUGUAAAUGUAAAAUGUCAAUGUUCCAGUUAAUAAAAGAGGACAUGAGGCUACAAAGGGA
Molecule: long non-coding RNA, 1185 nt
Organism: Gadus macrocephalus (Pacific cod)
Lineage: Eukaryota; Metazoa; Chordata; Actinopteri; Gadiformes; Gadidae
Exons: 3
Source: RefSeq, a predicted model, not a curated record